RNAcentral lists this ribosomal RNA (494 nucleotides) under uncultured bacterium. Its description in RNAcentral is "partial 16S ribosomal RNA". It matches the Rfam family "Bacterial small subunit ribosomal RNA", at positions 28 to 507 of the family's 1533-position model. The record is from RNAcentral.
GACGAACGCUGGCGGCGUGCUUAACACAUGCAAGUCGAACGGAAAGGCCUGCUUUCCCUUGUGGAUUGCGGGUACUCGAGUGGCGAACGGGAGAGUAACACGUGAGUUAUCUGCCCCCAACUUGGGUAUAAGCCUGGGAAACUGGGUCUAAUUCCCGAUAGGACUGCAGGGUGGUGCCUGUGGUGGAAAACGAUUUUCUAGUGGUUGGGGAUGAGCUCGCGGCCUAUCAGCUUGUUGGUGGGGUAAUGGCAUACCAAGGCGGCGACGGGUAGCCGGCCUGAGAGGGUGGACGGCGACAUUGGGACUGAGAUACGGCCCAGACGCCUACGGGAGGCAGCAGUGGGGAAUAUUGGAGAAUGGGCGGAAGCCUGAUGCAGCGACGCCGCGUGGGGGAUGACGGGCUUCGGGUGGUAAACUCCUUUCGACCGAGAGGAAGCCACAUGGUUGGAAGGGUGGUGACGGUAGUGGUAGAAGAAGCACCGGCUAACUACGUG